RNAcentral lists this ribosomal RNA (468 nucleotides) under uncultured bacterium. RNAcentral describes it as "partial 16S ribosomal RNA". It matches the Rfam family "Bacterial small subunit ribosomal RNA", at positions 28 to 507 of the family's 1533-position model. The record is from RNAcentral.
GACGAACGCUGGCGGCGUGCUUAACACAUGCAAGUCGAACGGAAAGGCCCUGCUUUUGUGGGGUGCUCGAGUGGCGAACGGGUGAGUAACACGUGAGUAACCUGCCCUUGACUUUGGGAUAACUUCAGGAAACUGGGGCUAAUACCGGAUAGGAGCUCCUGCUGCAUGGUGGGGGUUGGAAAGUUUCGGCGGUUGGGGAUGGACUCGCGGCUUAUCAGCUUGUUGGUGGGGUAGUGGCUUACCAAGGCUUUGACGGGUAGCCGGCCUGAGAGGGUGACCGGCCACAUGGGGACUGAGAUACGGCCCAGACUGCUACGGGAGGCAGCAGUGGGGAAUAUUGCACAAUGGGCGGAAGCCUGAUGCAGCAACGCCGCGUGCGGGAUGACGGCCUUCGGGUUGUAAACCGCUGUCGCCUGUGACGAAGCGUGAGUGACGGUAAUGGGUAAAGAAGCACCGGCUAACUACGUG